GACGAACGCUGGCGGCGUGCUUAACACAUGCAAGUCGAACGGAAAGGCCCUGCUUUUGUUGCUCGCUUGAGUGGCGAACGGGUGAGUAACACGUGAGUAACCCGUCCCUUACUGUGGGAUAACUUCAGGAAACUCGGGCGCAUACCGGAUAUGAUCUCCUGCUGCAUGUUGUUGGAUGGAAAGUGUCGGUGUUUGGGGAUGGACUCGCUGCUUACCAGCUUGUUGGGGGGGUAGUUGCUUACCAAGGCUUUGACGGGUAGCCGGCCUGAGAGGGGGACCGGCCACAUUGGGACUGAGAUAGGCCCCAGACUCCAACGGGCGGCAGCGGUGGGAAGUAUGGCACAAUGGGCGGAGGCCUGAGGCGGAAAGGCGCGGUGCGGAAUACCGGCCUUCGGGUGUAAAACAGCUUUCGCAGGUGCCGAGCAGUGCGUGACGGUAAUGGGUCAAGAAGCACCGGCUAACUACGUG
RNAcentral lists this ribosomal RNA (468 nucleotides) under uncultured bacterium. RNAcentral's name for it is "partial 16S ribosomal RNA". It matches the Rfam family "Bacterial small subunit ribosomal RNA", at positions 28 to 507 of the family's 1533-position model. The record is from RNAcentral.